Molecule: ribosomal RNA, 290 nt
Filed under: uncultured bacterium
Lineage: Bacteria
Description: partial 16S ribosomal RNA
Rfam family: Bacterial small subunit ribosomal RNA
Source: RNAcentral
GAUGAACGCUGGCGGCGUGCUUAACACAUGCAAGUCGAGCGAAGCACUUGAAUUUGAUUCUUCGGAUGACGAUUCAUUUGACUGAGCGGCGGACAGGUGAGUAACGCGUGGGUAACCUGCCUCAUACAGGGGGAUAACAGUUAGAAAUGACUGCUAAUACCGCAUAAGACCACGGUGCCGCAUGGCACAGUGGUAAAAACUCCGGUGGUAUGAGAUGGACCCCGCGUCUGAUUAGCUAGUUGGUGGGGUAACGCUUACCAAGGCGACGAUCAGUAGCCGACCUGAGGGGU